This 407-nucleotide unclassified non-coding RNA is filed under the name uncultured Rhizophagus. Its description in RNAcentral is "sequence contains 28S rRNA gene". Lineage: Eukaryota; Fungi; Glomeromycota; Glomeromycetes; Glomerales; Glomeraceae. The record is from RNAcentral.
AGUUAAACAGUACGUGAAAUUGUUGAAAGGGAAACGAUUGAAGCCAGUCGUACCUUCGGGUAAUCAGCCUUUCGGGUGCGAUUAUGUGGAGUGUGAGGAGCUUAAACACCUUCAUGUUUUGCAUAUUCGUACUCUUGGGUGUACUUGCCCGUAUGGUUGGUUAACAUCAAUUUUGGUGGUCAUAAAAUGACUGGAGGAAUGUAGCUUCGAUCUCGUAUUGAAGUGUUAUAGCCUUCGGUAGAUGUGAUGAUCGAGAUUGAGGAUUGCAACGGAUACCCUUCGGGGCUACCUGUCUGAUCUCUGAUCGUUGUUCUGGUGCCGAAAGCUUGCUUACGGUUAUCAAAGUCGAUGGUCAAUAGGUUAGAACGGGUUAAAUUCGUUAAGGAUGUUGACGUAAUGGCUUUAAA